AAAAUUCAAACUUUGAAUGCUAGAAUAUAAGAAGAGGGAGAAGAAGAAUAUAUGGUUAUCUAGUUAUCUGGUUUGGUUUGAUGUAAUUGGACUGGGCCCUAAGGGGAUUAAUGUAUGGGCCUAUUCCGGAAACAGUCUAUUGAACAUAUGUUUUUUUAAUAAAUUGCAAGCUGUUUACAAAAAAAAAAAGAGAAGAAAAAUAUAUGUAUAAAUCUUUUGACUUGUAUCAUUUUAUUCAAUUUUAAUAUAUAAAGUCUACUAAUUAAUUUCAUUAAGUUAGUAAUUAAAAACUCACUAAGGACCUAUUUUUGAGACAUAGAAAACAAUU
This 328-nucleotide long non-coding RNA is filed under the name Capsella rubella. RNAcentral's name for it is "long non-coding RNA (CRUB_LNC000791)". The record is from RNAcentral. Lineage: Eukaryota; Viridiplantae; Streptophyta; Magnoliopsida; Brassicales; Brassicaceae.